CGUGAUAUGAAAUAAGGGAUGUUGCAUGCAGGCUGACCCUUAACAUCAGGACUAAAGUGGAGAGAUUUAGAAUACAUCUGUUUACAGAAGCCAGAAAAAGGAUCACCAUGAUCUUGAAGCCAAAGUCUCCGUAUUUCUCCUCAUCAGUGUUAUGCAGUAGGUUCCAGAUGUUUCUGCAAAGUUACAUGAAAUUUUAAGCAUUCUCUUAACCUUAAUUGGCAUCGUUUGACUGAAAAUAUGAUAUAUCAAGGUGUGAGAAUUUUCUAAGACAGGCCCUGAACAUGACUCAACCACUAACAUAUUGGUGCCAAAAUUCUAGCUAGGGCAACUUCAGGUAAGACAGAAGCUUUUCAUUAGACCUAAAAGGAUUGCUUGGCAAGAAGGAAAACUUACCUCAUAAUUGCAGAUCUUAAGCUUAUGGAAGUCAGAGCAGCCCCCAGAGAUUCCUCCAAACUUGGGCAUAACCAGAUAAUGAGGGGAGGAGAUAUGAUUUAGCAUGGGCUGCACAUGAAAAGCUAAAGAACCAAACUGAAACAAAAUCCAAGUUGUGAAAUCUAUAGAAUGAUUG
This 568-nucleotide long non-coding RNA is filed under the name Elaeis guineensis (African oil palm). Its description in RNAcentral is "long non-coding RNA (EGUI_LNC028997)". Lineage: Eukaryota; Viridiplantae; Streptophyta; Magnoliopsida; Arecales; Arecaceae. The record is from RNAcentral.